This 540-nucleotide ribosomal RNA is filed under the name uncultured bacterium. RNAcentral's name for it is "bacterial SSU rRNA". It matches the Rfam family "Bacterial small subunit ribosomal RNA", at positions 40 to 603 of the family's 1533-position model. The record is from RNAcentral.
CGGGCGUGCCUAACACAUGCAAGUCGAACGGAAAUAGCAAUAUUUGAGUGGCGCACGGGUGAGUAACACGUAGCUAAUCUACCUCAAAGCGCGGGAUAACGUGUCGAAAGACAGGCUAAUACCGCAUAAGCUCCCGAUCUGUAGAGGGUUGGGAGAAAAAGGCGCAAGUCACUUUGAGAUGAGGCUGCGGCCCAUCAGCUAGUUGGUGCGGUAACGGCGUACCAAGGCGACGACGGGUAGGGGACCUGAGAGGGUGACCCCCCACACUGGGACUGAGACACGGCCCAGACUCCUACGGGAGGCAGCAGUGAGGAAUAUUGCACAAUGGGCGAAAGCCUGAUGCAGCGACGCCGCGUGGGUGAAGAAGGUUUUCGGAUCGUAAAACCCUUUUCUGUGUGACGAGCAAGGACGGUAGCACAGGAAUAAGUCUCGGCUAACUACGUGCCAGCAGCCGCGGUAAAACGUAGGAGACAAACGUUAUCCGGAGUUACUGGGCGUAAAGGGCGUGUAGGUGGUUUUGUAAGUCUGGCGUGAAAUAUC